AACGAACGCUGGCGGCAUGCCUAACACAUGCAAGUCGAACGAGAGCAUCGUGAGUGGUUGCUCUCGGGGGCGUCGCGCGUGGGAACCGGCCGUUAGACUUGGAAUAACUCCCCGACGGGGGGGCUAAUGUCGGGAAAUGUCCGUGGAUCCAAGAUUUAUCUACUUUGUAUGGGCCCGCGUUGGUUUAGCUUGUUGCUAUGGUAAAAGCCUACCACGGAUAGGAUCCAUAGCUGGUCUGAGAGGAUGAGCAGCCACACUGGGACUGAGCCACGGCCCAGACUCCUACGCGAGGCAGCAGUGGCGAAUAUAGGACAAUCGGCGAAAGCCUGAUGCACCAAUGCCGCGUGAGUGAUUAAGUCCUUAGGGUUGUAAAGCUCGUUUACCCGCGACUAUAAUGACAGUACCGAGAGAAUAAGCACCGGCUAACUCCGUG
This 433-nucleotide ribosomal RNA is filed under the name uncultured bacterium. RNAcentral describes it as "partial 16S ribosomal RNA". It matches the Rfam family "Bacterial small subunit ribosomal RNA", at positions 29 to 507 of the family's 1533-position model. The record is from RNAcentral.